UUUAGGAAGACAUAAAUAAUU
This is a non-coding RNA of Caenorhabditis elegans, 21 nucleotides long. NCBI's taxonomy places the organism in Eukaryota, Metazoa, Nematoda, Chromadorea, Rhabditida, Rhabditidae. The record is from Ensembl.